UGCGGGUUUUUGCAUUGGUUGCAUGUUGGGCUCAUGUCUCAGUUUUGAUAGGUUCGAUUCCUAUACCCGCUU
RNAcentral lists this transfer RNA (72 nucleotides) under Pycnococcus provasolii. RNAcentral's name for it is "tRNA-Met". It matches the Rfam family "tRNA". Rfam says of the family: Transfer RNA (tRNA) molecules are approximately 80 nucleotides in length. Their secondary structure includes four short double-helical elements and three loops (D, anti-codon, and T loops). RNAcentral also lists the same sequence under 1 other name. The record is from RNAcentral. Lineage: Eukaryota; Viridiplantae; Chlorophyta; Pseudoscourfieldiophyceae; Pseudoscourfieldiales; Pycnococcaceae.